RNAcentral lists this long non-coding RNA (3625 nucleotides) under Homo sapiens (human). RNAcentral's name for it is "non-protein coding lnc-GRIK2-2:11". Lineage: Eukaryota; Metazoa; Chordata; Mammalia; Primates; Hominidae. The record is from RNAcentral.
UGAUAUGGUAAUAUGUCCAAAAUGUACAGUUGUAUGAAAGAGCUUGCAACACAAUCUAUACAUAAUAUGAACACAUUUAGGUAAAAUUAUAUAUGUUUGUGUGUGUCUUCUGUAUGUGUGUAACAUGAUUAUUUUGCAAAGAGUGCCUUAAAUUAUCUCAAAAUUGUCUCAAGAACAGAAAAUUUCAAGGUGGAAGUGUUUCCAACCUAUUUCUUACAGCUCAACAAAAUCAUUCAUGCUUUUGACUUUUUUCAUUUCUAUGUUUCAUUAUCCUUAGUAUGUUAGCCUUUCAUUAUCAGAUUUGCCACUUCAUGGUUUGUAAGGAUGGGUUGCCAAGUUUCAGAACCAUUUCCAGCCCAUCAGUCUCUGGAUACCUCCUUCAGUAUGUGUGUGCACUAGGUCUGCCUAGCUCACCAGUGUGCCAUAGCCUCAGCUUCUAGGCCUUUCUUAUUUUAUCUAUUGUCAGUCACUUCUUCCCUGCCCUUUUUCACCCCUGCCUUAUCCUGCAACACCGAGUCUUAAAAUUCCAUCUUUACUGCACUCCAGUGCAGUUCCUGCUCUGAAGUUGAUGCUUAACCUUUGAGGAAUGCUGAUUAAUAAAAGACUCAAUUCUAAAAUGUUUUUCUACUCUUUUAAAUAAAUGAUAUUAGAAAAGAAAAAAGUUAGAUUACUACCAUGGCAGACAGUGUUGUUUGCCUCCUCAACCACCAUUUCUUUCCUCUUUCUUAACUAGUAAGAUGAUUUUUUAAAAGUACCAAACAACUCAAAAAAUGUGAGCUUCUCCCAAAGUAAUUUCAUUUCCCUUUGAAUAAGAAUGUUGUAUAGGUGGGCAUAUGGGCCAAGGGACAAUCAGCUUCGGAGAAUCCUGCAAUAUGUUUUACCCAGGUUUCAAAAUAUGUGCUUACAAUAUAUAAAGGGUUUUUCUUGAAUUACUGUUCAAUAUGGUGAACUCGGCAUAUCAUUUGCCUACUAUCCUUUCCUACACACCAUAGAAAUAAAAAUGAAGAAACAGAAAAAAUGAAGAAUAAGUGAAGGAGUAAAGAUGAUGUGUGCCUGUAUGCAUGCACUUACAUGAGUAGAAAAAAGUAGAUGAUGUCAAGAGAAGCAAAUGAAAUUUCAAAAAUGUGUUGGGAUACAAAGCAAAUAGUAGUGAUUUGACCAAAACCAUAGCCUAAAAAAUAUAGUGGAGAAGCUACACAGGAUAGGGCAGAAGUGAGAAUAAGGGCUGAAAAUGGGGAUAAAAUAUGGCACAAUUGAAUCUAUCACCAUACACAUUUCGCUUUCUCAGACAUAUAGACUGAGAGCAAGCAAAAGAUAUUAAUAUCUGCCACCAGACAAAAAGACCAAAACUGACCCCCCAAAUCUUCUCCAAAUUAAUUGAAUAACUAGUACAGAAAAGUGAAGACUUUUAGGUUGAUGACACAAAGGAAAAACAUUCUUAUUCAAGCAUUCAGGGCCAGCAUCCUGAGAAUAAGCUAAUUGCCUACUCAUGUAAAGUGAAACUUCAUAUUUGGCAUUCCUGGCCCUGUCCUACUAUCUGAAACUAGAUUUGACUUUCUUAUACAAGCAAAUAAUCCACCAAAGUUUGGGGCUGAAAUAUAUUUAUCCUUAAAGCAUUGUGUGAAAAGGGAAGAAUCAUUCCUUGCCAACUGUUGUCUUUCUAUCAUUCCUCCAAGAGAUAAGUUAGGAUAUGAGACCCCAAACCAACAACUUAAUAGAGUUUUCUUCUCAUAUAAUAGGCUAGUGAUGGGUACUCCUGAAAUUGUGUAGUUGCUUUCUCAAUUUAGUCAUCCCGGGACGAGAGUACCUUCUUUCUUGUCACUUUGCCAUUUCUAGAGUGUUGUUUUCAUCUAAUAGUUCAAAAUGGCUCACAGUCAUGACCAUAUAUAUUUCAAGCAGCAGUCUAAAGGAAGAGGAGAAGAAAAGGACAUAUCUUUGGGAACAUGAGUUGAAAGUACACCUAUCGAGGAGGAGCCGUGCGCUGCUGGUGCUGCUGGUGCUGUUGCCGCCGCUGCUCUCGCUGCAGUCAGUCAGGCUGCGCCUGCUUCUUCAGGGCCCAGUCCCUUGGACACAUCGCCGCUUCUAGACCCUCCUGCAGUCUCGGAUAUUGCUGGGAAAAUGUCUGAUGAAUUUUCGUUGGCAGAUGCACUACCUGAACACUCCCCUGCCAAAACCUCUGCUGUGAGCAAUACAAAACCUGGCCAACCUCCUCAAAGCUGACCAGGCUCCAACCCUUGGAAUAAUCCGAGUACUCCACCUUCGGUGCCAUCUGGACUCCCACCAAGUGCAACACCCUCCACUGUGCCUUUUGGACCAGUACCAACAGGAAUGUAUCUCUCCGUGCCUCCCACCGGACCACCUCCAGGACCCCCAGCACCCUUUACUCCUUCUGAACCAUCAUGCCCCCCACCUGGUGGUCCUUAUCCAGCCUCAACUGUGCCAGGCCCUGGCCCAUAGGGCCAUAUCCUAUACCAAAUAUGCCCUUUCCAGAGCUACCCAGACCAUAUGGUGCUACCCACAGAUCCAGCUGCAGCUGGUCCUUUAGGUCCAUGGGGAUCCAUGUCUUCUGGACCUUGGGUGCCAGGAAUGGGAGGGCAGUAUCCUACCCCUAAUAUGCCCUAUCCAUCUCCAGGGCCAUAUCCUGUUCCUCCUCCUCCCCAAGCCUCUGGGGCAGCACCACCUGUUCCAUGGGGCACCGUUCCACUAGGAGCCUGGGGACCACCAGCACCAUAUCCUGCCCCUACAGGAUCGUAUCCCACACCAGGACUCUAUCCUACUCCUAGUAAUCCUUUCUAAGUGCCUUCAGGACCUUCUGGUACUCCACUGAUGCCUGGUGGCCCCCAUUCUUACCAUUAAGUUAACAAUGGACGAAGAGAUGACGCUUUGCUUUUUGAAGUACGUAUAUAUGCACAUGAAUGCAUAUAUAAAAAGUGCUGGUUUCACUAUUAGAGGGCAUUCAUGAAAGAACAACUCUUGCACCUCUCAGAGAAGAUAACUGCCUCUUGUACUUGGUGAGCAUGACUAAUUCCUGCCAAUUAGGCCAAGCUUUCUAUUUCAUGGAUAAAGGUCAUUCUAGUAUCCAUGGCAUAAAUGAGGUCUAGGGAAUUCAAAGGCUACUGACAGCAGGGGAGAUAGGGCGUAAGUGGGUAAGAGCAAAUACUCCCAUUCCCUGCCCCCCCACCCUGUUAACAUGGGUGAAAGUCACUUUGACAACCAUGGGUGGCACCCUGUUGCAGUUGCCAGGACUCAGGGAUACAGUAACAGAGGAAAGAAAGAGCAAUGCCUUGCUUCCUCUCUCUCAUGUAUCCCAGUUAUUUGCUAGGAAGAGAUGGGAACCAGGGAUGCCUGCUCCCCUCUUUCUAGAUCAUUAGGCAUUCAUCUUCAGUCUGUACCCCUUUCGAAUGCAUCCUGAACCCCUGGGGCUCCUUUGAAACAGGAGUCUUUUUUCUUUUUUCCUCCUCUGUCCUCUCUUAGAUAGGUAAUUGUGUCUUUGUACUACAGGACACUCUCCUCAAAUGCAUACUCCAAUCUUGCCAGAGUUAAUUUCCCAAACCUUAGACUGGUUGGCUUAGGAUUGGGCUCGGGGGAAGGGAACCCAGAAGCCUGACAUGCUGGCAAAAGUAAA